GACGAACGCUGGCGGCGUGCUUAACACAUGCAGGUCGAACGGUAAGGCCCUUCGGGGUACACGAGUGGCGAACGGGUGAGUAACACGUGGGUGAUCUGCCCUGCACUUCGGGAUAAGCCUGGGAAACUGGGUCUAAUACCGGAUAGGACUCCUGGCUUCAUGGUUGGGGGUGGAAAGCUUUUGCGGUGUGGGAUGGGCCCGCGGCCUAUCAGCUUGUUGGUGGGGUAAUGGCCUACCAAGGCGACGACGGGUAGCCGGCCUGAGAGGGUGACCGGCCACACUGGGACUGAGAUACGGCCCAGACUCCUACGGGAGGCAGCAGUGGGGAAUAUUGCACAAUGGGCGCAAGCCUGAUGCAGCGACGCCGCGUGAGGGAUGACGGCCUUCGGGUUGUAAACCUCUUUCAGCGCCGACGAAGCGCAAGUGACGGUAGGUGCAGAAGAAGGACCGGCCAACUACGUGCCAGCAGCCGCGGUAA
RNAcentral lists this ribosomal RNA (478 nucleotides) under uncultured bacterium. Its description in RNAcentral is "partial 16S ribosomal RNA". It matches the Rfam family "Bacterial small subunit ribosomal RNA", at positions 28 to 523 of the family's 1533-position model. The record is from RNAcentral.